This 465-nucleotide ribosomal RNA is filed under the name Vreelandella stevensii. RNAcentral's name for it is "partial 16S ribosomal RNA". It matches the Rfam family "Bacterial small subunit ribosomal RNA", at positions 338 to 795 of the family's 1533-position model. The record is from RNAcentral. Lineage: Bacteria; Pseudomonadati; Pseudomonadota; Gammaproteobacteria; Oceanospirillales; Halomonadaceae.
CCUACGGGAGGCUGCAGUGGGGAAUAUUGGACAGUGGGGGCAACCCUGAUCCAGCCAUGCCGCGUGUGUGAAGAAGGCCCUCGGGUUGUAAAGCACUUUCAGUGAGGAAGAACGCCUGGUGGUUAAUACCCAUCAGGAAAGACAUCACUCACAGAAGAAGCACCGGCUAACUCCGUGCCAGCAGCCGCGGUAAUACGGAGGGUGCGAGCGUUAAUCGGAAUUACUGGGCGUAAAGCGCGCGUAGGUGGCUUGAUAAGCCGGUUGUGAAAGCCCCGGGCUCAACCUGGGAACGGCAUCCGGAACUGUCAAGCUAGAGGGCAGGAGAGGAAGGUAGAAUUCCCGGUGUAGCGGUGAAAUGCGUAGAGAUCGGGAGGAAUACCAGUGGCGAAGGCGGCCUUCUGGACUGACACUGACACUGAGGUGCGAAAGCGUGGGUAGCAAACAGGAUUAGAUACCCCAGUAGUC